GUAAAAAGAAAUAUAUAAAUUUCUCUUGAAGCUGCUGUGGAGGAAAAAUAACCAACGAUACACAUAUAAUAUGAAUUGCGUGUGUGUGUAUACAUGCAGGUAUGUGAUUAUUUGGUGAAGUCUAGAAUGGAGAAGCGCAUACACUUGGUGUUCAACGGAGCGAAAGCCCAUGUGUGCAGAGAUGUCUUGAUGUACUUGCGUACAUCAAUAUGGCGAUCGGUUAAAUUUUUGGGUAUGCACUUGUACAUAUAUAUACAUAUGUACAGACACCAAUAUGGCGACCUUUUUUUGGAGCCACUUUGUGUUUUAUUUCUUUUAAUAUCUGGCACUUUUAGAAGCCCUUAUGGCUACGAACAAUAUUUUAUUUGAGUUUUUUAAAUACAAUUGCCCCUUGCUUCAACCACGGACAAUGUGAAGCGAAAAAAAAUAUGUUCAGACACACAAAUAUGAAUAAAUCGGACUGGAGUUGCCGGAAAUUUGGCAAUGGACGAGUUGAGGUAGGUGCACUGCUACUUAUCUUGUUUGAAUUUGUAGCUGUUCCUGGAACCUUUUGUUGCAGAUCCACCAAUGCUUGCUGGGGCGAACUGGAUAUGCUAGAUGUUGAAGAAGUAUCCGGCUCGAAGGACCAAAUGUUGUAGUAGGGCGUCCGCAGGGCUUCCAGGUGAAACUUUACGAAAUGAAGUAUCGUUGGGGGAGCGUUUCUGCUCUGCACAAUUUUCAUAAUAAGAGUACAUUACAAUGUAUUAGUGUAAGUGAGGUGAAUUUCAUGUUCCAUGUACUGGUUCCGGAGUUACAUGGCGGUUGGAUGGCGACUGCCGGAUACACUUCUUGUGUGAACAUAAGUAUAAAUGUCUUUGGGUAUGAUGAACAAAUUAACGAGAUCAUUGGACCGUUUUACUUAACUAACGAAAACCGGAGAAAGCAUAUUGAUCUAUUGCUUUUGGAAAAUCAGAAUAUCUCACAUUAUGCCUGGAUUAAGAAUUUAUCACGGAAAUGUGUGUGGUUACGAUUUCUUCUGAUUUAGAAGAAAUAUUCGUAAGCCACUCAGCCAUGAUAAGUUCAAAGAUGGGUGAAUUUCAAGAGAGAGAUAGUGGUUGGACUCUCAUAAAAAUGUUAUGUCUUGAAAUGAUUAUCAACAACAAUAAGCCACUAAGAGGCUCCAGCUUUAUUCCGUUACCACGGAAAUUAAGUUUGAAGAAAGCCAUAAUAAACAUCAAAAACGAAGAUGAGUUUUGUUUCAUGUGGGCUUUAUUAGCAGCCAUAAAAAACUCUACAUAAUACUGCUAGGUGUGCAUCUUAUAAAAUCAAUGAUAUAAGGAGUCCAGUUAUUGAAAUUGAUGAGAUAUUCUCACUAAAAUUUCAUAAUAUGGAAUUUCCGCAAAAGCUCAAAGACAUUAAAAUGUUUGAAGAACAAAAUACUAACAUAAGUAUAAAUGUCUUUGGGUAUGAUGAAGAAAUUAACGAGAUCAUUGGACCGCUUUACUUAACUAACGAUAACCGGAGAAAGCAUAUUGAUCUAUUGCUUUUGGAAAAUCAGAAUAUUUCACAUUAUGCCGGCUUACACACAAUCAACUGACUUCACAUACGAGGAAAUUACAUUUCUGUAAUGUAUGCGUGAACUUUUCACAUAACGAGAGGUUGCAUAGUGAGCAGUGUGGAAAAGCAACGGCGCGAAUACGUGAACAAAACAUUCGACAGGUAUCUCAAAGCUAACGGUAUUGCACGGCAAUUGACGAUACCAUAUACGCCAGAGCAGAACGGCGUGGAUGAGAGGGCGACCCGUACUUUGGUUGAAAUGUCACGAUGACUACUAGUACAUUCUGUACAUACAUACAUACAUACUGGGCGAUACUCGAGCCGUUACAUUUGACUGCCAACAAGUGCAAAGAAAACUGAAAACUGGUCAAUCGAGCGCAGAGAUCGACAGGGCAGCAG
Drosophila montana is the source of this 1935-nucleotide long non-coding RNA. RefSeq lists it as uncharacterized. The transcript is spliced from 4 exons. Lineage: Eukaryota; Metazoa; Arthropoda; Insecta; Diptera; Drosophilidae. The record is from RefSeq and is a predicted model, not a curated record.